This 494-nucleotide ribosomal RNA is filed under the name uncultured bacterium. RNAcentral's name for it is "partial 16S ribosomal RNA". It matches the Rfam family "Bacterial small subunit ribosomal RNA", at positions 28 to 507 of the family's 1533-position model. The record is from RNAcentral.
GACGAGCGCUGGCGGCGUGCUUAACACAUGCAAGUCGAACGGUGAAGCGCCUUCCUUUUUGGUGGGUGUGGAUGAGUGGCGAACGGGUGAGUAACACGUGAGUAACCUGCCCCCUUCUUCUGGAUAACCGCAUGAAAGUGUGGCUAAUACGGGAUAUUCUGGGUCUGUCGCAUGAUGGGUCUGGGAAAGAUAUUGUUUCGGUGGGGGAUGGGCUCGCGGCCUAUCAGCUUGUUGGUGGGGUGAUGGCCUACCAAGGCGGUGACGGGUAGCCGGCCUGAGAGGGUGGACGGUCACACUGGGACUGAGACACGGCCCAGACUCCUACGGGAGGCAGCAGUGGGGAAUAUUGCACAAUGGGCGCAAGCCUGAUGCAGCGACGCCGCGUGAGGGAUGGAGGCCUUCGGGUUGUGAACCUCUUUCGCAAGUGAAGCAGGCCUGCCUCGUUUGUGGGUGGGUUGACGGUAGCUGGAUAAGAAGCGCCGGCUAACUACGUG